This 357-nucleotide ribosomal RNA is filed under the name uncultured bacterium. RNAcentral's name for it is "partial 16S ribosomal RNA". It matches the Rfam family "Bacterial small subunit ribosomal RNA", at positions 355 to 704 of the family's 1533-position model. The record is from RNAcentral.
UGGGGAAUAUUGGACAAUGGGCGAAAGCCUGAUCCAGCCAUGCCGCGUGUGUGAAGAAGGUCUUCGGAUUGUAAAGCACUUUAAGUUGGGAGGAAGGGCAUUAACCUAAUACGUUAGUGUUUUGACGUUACCGACAGAAUAAGCACCGGCUAACUCUGUGCCAGCAGCCGCGGUAAUACAGAGGGUGCAAGCGUUAAUCGGAAUUACUGGGCGUAAAGCGCGCGUAGGUGGUUUGUUAAGUUGGAUGUGAAAUCCCCGGGCUCAACCUGGGAACUGCAUUCAAAACUGACUGACUAGAGUAUGGUAGAGGGUGGUGGAAUUUCCUGUGUAGCGGUGAAAUGCGUAGAUAUAGGAAGG